CGCAACGCGAAGAACCUUACCUACUCUUGACAUCCAGAGAAGACUGCAGAGAUGCGGUUGUGCCUUCGGGAACUCUGAGACAGGUGCUGCAUGGCUGUCGUCAGCUCGUGUUGUGAAAUGUUGGGUUAAGUCCCGCAACGAGCGCAACCCUUAUCCUUAGUUGCCAGCGCGUAAUGGCGGGAACUCUAGGGAGACUGCCGGUGAUAAACCGGAGGAAGGUGGGGACGACGUCAAGUCAUCAUGGCCCUUACGAGUAGGGCUACACACGUGCUACAAUGGUAUGUACAGAGGGAGGCAAGCUGGCGACAGUGAGCGGAUCUCUUAAAGCAUAUCGUAGUCCGGAUCGCAGUCUGCAACUCGACUGCGUGAAGUCGGAAUCGCUAGUAAUCGCAAAUCAGAAUGUUG
Molecule: ribosomal RNA, 405 nt
Filed under: uncultured Rheinheimera sp.
Lineage: Bacteria; Pseudomonadati; Pseudomonadota; Gammaproteobacteria; Chromatiales; Chromatiaceae
Description: bacterial SSU rRNA
Rfam family: Bacterial small subunit ribosomal RNA
Source: RNAcentral